AAUUAAAAAAAAAUGUGUUCCUUCAUUCGAGCAAACAUGAAAAUAAUAUGGUGAUAAGCGCGAUUGUAAGAUGAGUUCCCCAUUAUUGCUACUGAAAUUUGGGCAAUAGAAUUUGUCCACAAGGAUCAUAUAACAACACAUAUCUCAAACUUGGACACAUUUGUUAUUUAAUGCUUCGUGUCUAACGUAUAAUAUCAAAUAGAUCAAGUUAGCACUUACUCCUAUAAUAACAAUAUUGCAUCUAUGCAAUCAUCUAGUAACAAUUAAAUGUCUUUGUUGGGUCUCACACACAUCAGCACAUGCACGAUUACCGAUGGCCAUCUUACAACUACUGAUGACGUCACGCGCAGGCUUUCGCCAGGCACCGCUGCGCUACCCGGCGUUACUGUACAGAAGCCAAUAGUCUUUUUUAGAAAUUAAAGGAAAAAGUAAGUUAUUUAUUGACUGACCUACGUAUAAUGUCAACGACAUUAUUAAAUCCUUUGAUUCUUACUCGCUAAAGUCUGGGAAGGGG
RNAcentral lists this unclassified non-coding RNA (514 nucleotides) under Bombus terrestris (buff-tailed bumblebee). RNAcentral describes it as "misc RNA ENSBTSG00005023608.1". Lineage: Eukaryota; Metazoa; Arthropoda; Insecta; Hymenoptera; Apidae. The record is from RNAcentral.